GAAUUUCAACUGUGAUGAGCUUCUUAAAUAGCAUAGUGAACAAGGAUUAAUAAUUAAAUUGUCAAGCCACACAGCAUUCCUAAGCAAGUGUAGUACAGGCUAUGAAACUCAAUUUCUGCAGCAUUUCCGUGAAAGCCAAGCACUUCCACCACCUUUGAGGCAGGGAAUGUGUAAAAUCCUCUGGAAUCUCGUGAAACUCUCCAGAUGAAGGAAAAGAGCUUUUAAGAGGUUUUCUUUUUAGGCCAUUGAGUGCCUGUCUAUUCUACUUAUUUUGAUCACUAGUACAACAUAAUGCAGCAGGCAAUUCCAUAGUGAAAGAAUCAAAUUCUUGAACUCUGAAACAAAGAAGGAAGAAGUGUUCGCUAGCCUUGAGAGUGAACCUAUACUAUGGUAAGGGCAUGUUAGA
This 406-nucleotide unclassified non-coding RNA is filed under the name Hevea brasiliensis (rubber tree). Lineage: Eukaryota; Viridiplantae; Streptophyta; Magnoliopsida; Malpighiales; Euphorbiaceae. The record is from RNAcentral.